This 349-nucleotide ribosomal RNA is filed under the name uncultured bacterium. Its description in RNAcentral is "bacterial SSU rRNA". It matches the Rfam family "Bacterial small subunit ribosomal RNA", at positions 30 to 377 of the family's 1533-position model. The record is from RNAcentral.
AUUGAACGCUGGCGGCAUGCCUUACACAUGCAAGUCGAACGGCAGCACGGGAGCUUGCUCCUGGUGGCGAGUGGCGAACGGGUGAGCAAUACAUCGGAACGUACCCUGAAGUGGGGGAUAACGUAGCGAAAGUUACGCUAAUACCGCAUAUUCUGUGAGCAGGAAAGCAGGGGAUCGCAAGACCUUGCGCUCUGGGAGCGGCCGAUGUCGGAUUAGCUAGUUGGUGGGGUAAAGGCCUACCAAGGCGACGAUCCGUAGCGGGUCUGAGAGGAUGAUCCGCCACACUGGGACUGAGACACGGCCCAGACUCCUACGGGAGGCAGCAGUGGGGAAUUUUGGACAAUGGGCG